GAUGAACGCUGGCGGCGUGCCUAAUACAUGCAAGUCGAGCGAACAGAUGAGGAGCUUGCUCCUCUGACGUUAGCGGCGGACGGGUGAGUAACACGUGGAUAACCUACCUAUAAGACUGGGAUAACUUCGGGAAACCGGAGCUAAUACCGGAUAAUAUAUUGAACCGCAUGGUUCAAUAGUGAAAGACGGUUUUGCUGUCACUUAUAGAUGGAUCCGCGCCGCAUUAGCUAGUUGGUAAGGUAACGGCUUACCAAGGCAACGAUGCGUAGCCGACCUGAGAGGGUGAUAGGCCACAUGGGAACUGAGACACGGUCCAGACUCCUACGGGAGGCAGCAGUAGGGAAUCUUCCGCAAUGGGCGAAAGCCUGACGGAGCAACGCCGCGUGAGUGAUGAAGGUCUUCGGAUCGUAAAACUCUGUUAUUAGGGAAGAACAAAUGUGUAAGUAACUAUGCACGUCUUGACGGUACCUAAUCAGAAAGCCACGGCUAACUACGUG
This 497-nucleotide ribosomal RNA is filed under the name uncultured bacterium. RNAcentral's name for it is "partial 16S ribosomal RNA". It matches the Rfam family "Bacterial small subunit ribosomal RNA", at positions 28 to 507 of the family's 1533-position model. The record is from RNAcentral.